GAUGAACGCUAGCGGCAGGCUUAAUACAUGCAAGUCGAGGGGCAGCACGGUUAGCAAUAACUGGUGGCGACCGGCGCACGGGUGCGUAACACGUAUACAAUCUACCUUAAACAGGGGGAUAGCCUUUCGAAAGAGAGAUUAAUACCCCGUAAUAAAUUGAACGGCAUCGUUUGAUUUUGAAAGCUCCGGCGGUUUGAGAUGAGUAUGCGUCUGAUUAGCUAGUUGGUGAGGUAACGGCUCACCAAGGCGACGAUCAGUAGGGGAUCUGAGAGGACUAACCCCCCACACUGGUACUGAGACACGGACCAGACUCCUACGGGAGGCAGCAGUAAAGGGAAUAAUUGGUUCAAAUGGAGGGCAACUCUGAACCAGCCAUGCCGCCGUGCAGGAUGACGGCCCUAUGGGUUGUAAACUAGCUUUUAUACAAGAGAAAACCCUGGUACGUGUACCAGGUUGUAUAGUAUU
Molecule: ribosomal RNA, 465 nt
Filed under: uncultured bacterium
Lineage: Bacteria
Description: bacterial SSU rRNA
Rfam family: Bacterial small subunit ribosomal RNA
Source: RNAcentral